GACGAACGCUGGCGGCGUGCCUAACACAUGCAAGUCGAGCGAGUGAAUCUCCUUCGGGAGUGAAGCUAGCGGCGGACGGGUGAGUAACACGUGGGCAACCUGCCUCAUAGAGGGGAAUAGCCUUUCGAAAGGAAGAUUAAUACCGCAUAAGAUUGUAGCUUCGCAUGAAGUAGCAAUUAAAGGAGCAAUCCGCUAUGAGAUGGGCCCGCGGCGCAUUAGCUAGUUGGUGAGGUAACGGCUCACCAAGGCGACGAUGCGUAGCCGACCUAAGAGGGUGAUCGGCCACAUUGGAACUGAGACACGGUCCAGACUCCUACGGGAGGCAGCAGUGGGGAAUAUUGCACAAUGGGGGAAACCCUGAUGCAGCAACGCCGCGUGAGUGAUGAAGGUCUUCGGAUUGUAAAGCUCUGUCUUUAGGGACGAUAAUGACGGUACCUAAGGAGGAAGCCACGGCUAACUACGUGCCAGCAGCCGCAGUAA
This 480-nucleotide ribosomal RNA is filed under the name uncultured bacterium. RNAcentral's name for it is "partial 16S ribosomal RNA". It matches the Rfam family "Bacterial small subunit ribosomal RNA", at positions 28 to 523 of the family's 1533-position model. The record is from RNAcentral.